GUACACACCGCCCGUCACACCAUGGGAGUGGGUUGUACCAGAAGUAGGUAGCCUAACCUUCGGGAGGGCGCUUACCACGGUAUGAUUCAUGACUGGGGUGAAGUCGUAACAAGGUAGCCGUAGGUGAACCUGCAGAAGGAUCA
RNAcentral lists this ribosomal RNA (143 nucleotides) under uncultured eukaryote. RNAcentral describes it as "partial small subunit ribosomal RNA". It matches the Rfam family "Bacterial small subunit ribosomal RNA", at positions 1383 to 1525 of the family's 1533-position model. The record is from RNAcentral.